AGAGAUCUGCUGCCUGCCUGUGUCUUCUGGGUGCUGGGAUGAAAGGCAUGCAGCACAACUGCCCAGCUCAAUGAAGACUUCAGUGGCAUCAAUCCCACCAGCACAGGCUCCAAGGAUCAAACUCAGGCAUGGUGGCCAUCUUGCCAACUCCUCAAACCAAAUAAAGACAGGUUCUCUCUACAAAGCCAUGGCUACCUUGGAACUCACUUCACAGACCAGGGUGGUCUUAAACUCAAGUGAUCUUCCGACCUCUGCUAUCCAAAUAAUGCCAAGAUUAAAGGUUUAUACCACCAACUCCA
Molecule: long non-coding RNA, 299 nt
Organism: Mus musculus (house mouse)
Lineage: Eukaryota; Metazoa; Chordata; Mammalia; Rodentia; Muridae
Product: RIKEN cDNA 1700108I11 gene
Exons: 2
Source: RefSeq, a predicted model, not a curated record